This 71-nucleotide transfer RNA is filed under the name Loxodonta africana (African savanna elephant). It matches the Rfam family "tRNA". From Rfam's summary of the family: Transfer RNA (tRNA) molecules are approximately 80 nucleotides in length. Their secondary structure includes four short double-helical elements and three loops (D, anti-codon, and T loops). The record is from Rfam by way of RNAcentral. Lineage: Eukaryota; Metazoa; Chordata; Mammalia; Proboscidea; Elephantidae.
GCAGUGAUGGUUCAGCAGUAGAAUUUUCACCUUCUGUGCAGGAGACCUGGGUUCGAUUCCUGGUCAAUGUA